This 83-nucleotide transfer RNA is filed under the name Methanosarcina sp. Its description in RNAcentral is "tRNA-Leu". It matches the Rfam family "tRNA". From Rfam's summary of the family: Transfer RNA (tRNA) molecules are approximately 80 nucleotides in length. Their secondary structure includes four short double-helical elements and three loops (D, anti-codon, and T loops). The record is from RNAcentral. RNAcentral also lists the same sequence under 6 other names. Lineage: Archaea; Methanobacteriati; Methanobacteriota; Methanomicrobia; Methanosarcinales; Methanosarcinaceae.
GCGAGGGUUGCCGAGUGGUUAAAGGCGAUGGGCUCAAGAUCCAUUCCCGCAGGGGUUCAAGGGUUCGACUCCCUUCCCUCGCA